Ictidomys tridecemlineatus (thirteen-lined ground squirrel) is the source of this 1444-nucleotide non-coding RNA. NCBI's taxonomy places the organism in Eukaryota, Metazoa, Chordata, Mammalia, Rodentia, Sciuridae. The record is from RefSeq and is a predicted model, not a curated record.
AAGAUAUGCAUUCAGUAGAAGGAGUACCCUGAAUUUAUUAUUUUGCUCUCUCUCAAGACAAACAAUAUGCCAUAUCAUACUCUUUCCUGGUCCUGUCGGCAGUAGUGAACCUGAGCUCCGGGUUUUAAUUCACAGAAGGGCUCCAUGUUAAUGAGGUCCAAUCUCACAGUCUUUUGCUUUGUGUGUGUGGUGCAAGCUCCCUACAACCCCAAGGUCAAAGAUCAGCUUCACCAGACUAAAUCAUUUGGCUUCUGCUUCUCUGUGGGCCGACAUGUCUUCCGAAUAUGGUUAAGAGUAGCUGAACAAAUGGCAAAAAAUCAGAUUUCUGAAGGAAUCUGAGUACAAAAGAAACAAGGAGGAUUAAAGGGACUAAAACAUCAAACAGAGAGACAAGAACUGCUCAGAGGCGGAUGAGGACCUGCAGUUGCCUUUCCGGGAUGGUAUUUGCCAAAUCAGAGCUGGCAAAAGAAGAGCAGGCUGGCUCAGCCCAGGCUUCAGACUCUUCUGGGGAAUUAGCCGUCAAUAGAGGUUUCAGCACUGGCUCAGGGGUGGAGUCAAGAAGUAGGAGCCCUGUGAUACUGAAAGAGAGUUGUCUUCUCCUUCAACCUUUGUUUUAUUCUGAAGCUUCCUGGGGCAAGAUUCCCAAACACUAAGCCAAAAAUAUUCUCGUAAACACAAUUAAAACUCAUACCAUCUCUGAGGGUCAGUGAAACCGAGACACCGUCCCCAAACAACCCAAGCAAUCAAAAGUCUCAAGGGACCAGUCCCCCACCCCCCAGUGCUGGGCAUCCAACCCUGGGCCUCAUGCAUGCUAGGCACCAUGCAGGUAGAAAUGUUUAGGAUAAUGCAAUAGGGAGCAUCGAACUAAUAACAUAGACCCAAAUAUAUGUCUGUAAGUAGACUAAGAGUUGACUCCGUUUUUCAAGUUUUCAAGUUGACUCAGUUUUUUGAGUUUUCACAUGACGACUUAAAAUACUCAAGAUGAAUAUACUCAAGAAGAUAGAGAAAAGGAAGAAAAUGUGGGUUAAAAAUGGAGAAUUUUACUAGAAGAUUAACAUCUAUAAAUAGAUUUAGAGUAAUACUGUGAAACAGAAAAUGUGACAUAUGAGAUCAAGAGCUCCAAUGAUGGGUGAGCAAUGGAUUAAACAGAAACGGCAAGAUUUCUAACUGGAGAGGAAGGCAAUAAAAUGUACACAGACAACAGUAGAGGAAAAAACAUAGCGAGAAAUAGAAAUGCAAGCAGGAGGCAGGCAGGCCUUAACUGUAGGGCAUUAAUAAAUAAUGGAGUCCCAGAAAAGAGGUGAGGGGAAAUAGCAAUAUUAAGAGAAAAAAGAAUGUUAUUACUUUUUUUGUUGUUGUUUAUCAAAGGCUCACGGGCAAAUUAAUGUGAGGUAUUAAAUGAUGACAUUAUUCCAGUAAAAAGUUUUCAAUUUAAAUAUCUCAA